RNAcentral lists this ribosomal RNA (482 nucleotides) under uncultured bacterium. Its description in RNAcentral is "bacterial SSU rRNA". It matches the Rfam family "Bacterial small subunit ribosomal RNA", at positions 36 to 507 of the family's 1533-position model. The record is from RNAcentral.
CUGGCGGCAUGCCUUACACAUGCAAGUCGAACGGCAGCAUGGAAGAGCUUGCUCUUCUGAUGGCGAGUGGCGAACGGGUGAGUAAAGCAUCGGAACGUACCGUGUAGUGGGGGAUAACGUAGCGAAAGUUACGCUAAUACCGCAUACGCACUGAGGUGGAAAGCAGGGGAUCGCAAGACCUUGCGCUAUACGAGCGGCCGAUGUCAGAUUAGCUAGUUGGUAGGGUAAAGGCCUACCAAGGCGACGAUCUGUAGCGGGUCUGAGAGGAUGAUCCGCCACACUGGGACUGAGACACGGCCCAGACUCCUACGGGAGGCAGCAGUGGGGAAUUUUGGACAAUGGGCGAAAGCCUGAUCCAGCCAUGCCGCGUGAGUGAAGAAGGCCUUCGGGUUGUAAAGCUCUUUCGGCUGGGAAGAAAUCGCACAGGCUAAUACUCUGUGUGGAUGACGGUACCAGCACAAGAAGCACCGGCUAACUACGUG